GUGUCAGCAGCCGCGGUAAAACGUAGGUACCGAGCGUUAUCCGGAUUUACUGGGCGUAAAGCGCGUUCAGGCGGCCGAGCAAGUCGGGCAUGAAAUCUCUCGGCUCAACCGGGAGGGGUUGUCCGAUACUGCUGGGCUUGAGGGCAGUAGAGGGUGGUGGAAUUCCGGGUGUAGUGGUGAAAUGCGUAGAGAUCCGGAGGAACACCAGUGGCGAAGGCGGCCACCUGGACUGCCCCUGACGCUCAAACGCGAAAGCUAGGGGAGCGAACGGGAUUAGAUACCCCUGUAGUCC
Molecule: ribosomal RNA, 292 nt
Filed under: uncultured bacterium
Lineage: Bacteria
Description: partial 16S ribosomal RNA
Rfam family: Bacterial small subunit ribosomal RNA
Source: RNAcentral